RNAcentral lists this transfer RNA (48 nucleotides) under Chloroleucon mangense. RNAcentral describes it as "partial tRNA-His". Lineage: Eukaryota; Viridiplantae; Streptophyta; Magnoliopsida; Fabales; Fabaceae. The record is from RNAcentral.
AUGGAAAUCUCUGUAAUUUUUAGAUAGUAUAGGGGCGGAUGUAGCCAA